UACGUAGGGUGCAAGCGUUGUCCGGAAUUAUUGGGCGUAAAGGGCGCGUAGGCGGUUUGUCGCGUCGGGAGUGAGAUCAUCUGGCUUAACUGGGUGCUUGCUUUCGAUACGGGCAGACUAGAGGUAUGCAGGGGAGAACGGAAUUCCUGGUGUAGCGGUGAAACGCGCAGAUAUCAGGAGGAACACCGGUGGCGAAGGCGGUUCUCUGGGCAUGAUCUGACGCUGAGGAGCGAAAGUGUGGGGAGCGAACAGG
RNAcentral lists this ribosomal RNA (253 nucleotides) under uncultured bacterium. RNAcentral's name for it is "partial 16S ribosomal RNA". It matches the Rfam family "Bacterial small subunit ribosomal RNA", at positions 524 to 776 of the family's 1533-position model. The record is from RNAcentral.